UCCAGACUCCUACGGGAGGCAGCAGUGAGGAAUAUUGGUCAAUGGUCGGGAGACUGAACCAGCCAAGCCGCGUGAGGGAUGAAGGUACAGAGUAUCGUAAACCUCUUUUGUCAGGGAACAAAGGCGGGGACGCGUCCCCGGAUGAGUGUACCUGAAGAAAAAGCAUCGGCUAACUCCGUGCCAGCAGCCGCGGUAAUACGGAGGAUGCGAGCGUUAUCCGGAUUUAUUGGGUUUAAAGGGUGCGCAGGCGGAGGUGCAAGUCAGCGGUCAAAUUGCGGGGCUCAACCCCGUACUGCCGUUGAAACUGCAUCCCUUGAGUGCGCGAGAAGUAUGCGGAAUGCGUGGUGUAGCGGUGAAAUGCAUAGAUAUCGCGCAGAACCCCGAUUGCGAAGGCAGCGUGCCGUGCCGCCACUGACGCUGAGGCACGAAAGCGCGGGGAUCGAACAGGAUUAGAUACCCUGGUAGC
Molecule: ribosomal RNA, 466 nt
Filed under: uncultured bacterium
Lineage: Bacteria
Description: bacterial SSU rRNA
Rfam family: Bacterial small subunit ribosomal RNA
Source: RNAcentral